AGUGAACGCUGGCGGUAGGCCUAACACAUGCAAGUCGAACGGCAGCACAGUAAGAGCCUGCUCUUACGGGUGGCGAGUGGCGGGCGGGUGAGGAAUACAUCGGAAUCUACUUUUUCGUGGGGGAUAACGUAGGGAAACUUACGCUAAUACCGCAUACGACCUACGGGUGAAAGCAGGGGAUCUUCUGACCUUGCGCGAUUGAAUGAGCCGAUGUCGGAUUAGCUAGUUGGCGGGGUAAAGGCCCACCAAGGCGACGAUCCGUAGCUGGUCUGAGAGGAUGAUCAGCCACACUGGAACUGAGACACGGUCCAGACUCCUACGGGAGGCAGCAGUGGGGAAUAUUGGACAAUGGGCGCAAGCCUGAUCCAGCCAUACCGCGUGGGUGAAGAAGGCCUUCGGGUUGUAAAGCCCUUUUGUUGGGAAAGAAAAGCAGCAGGUUAAUACCCCGCUGUUCUGACGGUACCCAAAGAAUAAGCACCGGCUAACUUCGUG
RNAcentral lists this ribosomal RNA (492 nucleotides) under uncultured bacterium. RNAcentral's name for it is "partial 16S ribosomal RNA". It matches the Rfam family "Bacterial small subunit ribosomal RNA", at positions 29 to 507 of the family's 1533-position model. The record is from RNAcentral.